RNAcentral lists this long non-coding RNA (226 nucleotides) under Elaeis guineensis (African oil palm). RNAcentral's name for it is "long non-coding RNA (EGUI_LNC073789)". The record is from RNAcentral. Lineage: Eukaryota; Viridiplantae; Streptophyta; Magnoliopsida; Arecales; Arecaceae.
GCUUGACAUACCACUCCUUUUAGUGCCCAUUUUUUUAUGGGUAAAAAAUAUAUCUAGAAAUCUAUAUUUUUUAAAACAAUAUUUAGACAGAAAAAUAAUUUAUCUAUAUUCUUUUAUGCAUAGGAAAGUGGCUUCGAAAUCUAUUAUUCAUGUUCUUUUGCCUUACUACAUUCCUGGCUAAGUUGUUAAAAUUUAUCCAUAUUUUUUAUAAUAUCUUUUAUCCUUU